RNAcentral lists this ribosomal RNA (857 nucleotides) under Pyrenophora biseptata. Its description in RNAcentral is "partial large subunit ribosomal RNA". It matches the Rfam family "Eukaryotic large subunit ribosomal RNA", at positions 66 to 941 of the family's 3401-position model. Lineage: Eukaryota; Fungi; Ascomycota; Dothideomycetes; Pleosporales; Pleosporaceae. The record is from RNAcentral.
CCACAGGGAUUGCCCUAGUAACGGCGAGUGAAGCGGCAACAGCUCAAAUUUGAAAUCUGGCUCUUUCAGGGUCCGAGUUGUAAUUUGCAGAGGGCGCUUUGGCUUUGGCAGCGGUCCAAGUUCCUUGGAACAGGACGUCACAGAGGGUGAGAAUCCCGUACGUGGUCGCUAGCUAUUGCCGUGUAAAGCCCCUUCGACGAGUCGAGUUGUUUGGGAAUGCAGCUCUAAAUGGGAGGUAAAUUUCUUCUAAAGCUAAAUACUGGCCAGAGACCGAUAGCGCACAAGUAGAGUGAUCGAAAGAUGAAAAGCACUUUGGAAAGAGAGUCAAACAGCACGUGAAAUUGUUGAAAGGGAAGCGCUUGCAGCCAGACUUGCUUGCAGUUGCUCAUCCGGACUUUUGUCCGGUGCACUCUUCUGCAGGCAGGCCAGCAUCAGUUUGGGCGGUGGGAUAAAGGUCUCUGUCACGUACCUCUCUUCGGGGAGGCCUUAUAGGGGAGACGACAUACCACCAGCCUGGACUGAGGUCCGCGCAUUUGCUAGGAUGCUGGCGUAAUGGCUGUAAGCGGCCCGUCUUGAAACACGGACCAAGGAGUCUAACAUCUAUGCGAGUGUUUGGGUGUCAAGCCCGAACGCGUAAUGAAAGUGAACGGAGGUGGGAACCCGCAAGGGUGCACCAUCGACCGAUCCUGAUGUCUUCGGAAGGAUUUGAGUAAGAGCAUGGCUGUUGGGACCCGAAAGAUGGUGAACUAUGCUUGAAUAGGGUGAAGCCAGAGGAAACUCUGGUGGAGGCUCGCAGCGGUUCUGACGUGCAAAUCGAUCGUCAAAUUUGGGCAUAGGGGCGAAAGACUAAUCGAACU